RNAcentral lists this ribosomal RNA (468 nucleotides) under uncultured bacterium. RNAcentral describes it as "partial 16S ribosomal RNA". It matches the Rfam family "Bacterial small subunit ribosomal RNA", at positions 28 to 507 of the family's 1533-position model. The record is from RNAcentral.
GACGAACGCUGGCGGCGUGCUUAACACAUGCAAGUCGAACGGAAAGGCCCUGCUUUCGUGGGGUGCCCGAGUGGCGAACGGGUGUGUAACACGUGAGUAUCCUGCCUUUGACUUUGGGAUAACUUCAGGAAACUGGGGCUAAUACAGGAUAGGAGCUCCUGCUGCAUGGUGGGGGUUGGACAGUUUCGGCGGAUGGGGAUGGACUCGCGGCUUAUUAGCUUGUUGGUGGGGUAGUGGCUUACCAAGGCUUUGACGGGUAGCCGGCCUGAGAGGGCGACCGGCCACAUUGGGACUGAGGUACGGCGCAGACGCGUACGGGAGGCAGCAGUGGAGAAUAUUGCACAAUGAGCGGAAGCCUGAUGCAGCAACGCCGCGUGCGGGAUGACGGCCUUCGGGUUGUAAACCGCUUUCGCCUGUGACGAAGCGUGAGUGACGGUAAUGGGUAAAGAAGCACCGGCUAACUACGUG